AGUGAGGAAUAUUGGGCAAUGGACGCAAGUCUGACCCAGCCAUGCCGCGUGCAGGAUGAAGGCCUUAUGGGUUGUAAACUGCUUUUAUACGGGAAUAAACUUAGCUAUGUAUAGCUAACUGCAGGUACCGUACGAAUAAGCACCGGCUAACUCCGUGCCAGCAGCCGCGGUAAUACGGAGGGUGCAAGCGUUAUCCGGAUUUAUUGGGUUUAAAGGGUCCGCAGGCGGACCAAUAAGUCAGUGGUGAAAUCUCUCGGCUCAACCGAGAAACUGCCAUUGAUACUGUUGGUCUAGAGUGUAGUUGGCGUAGGCGGAAUGUAUCAUGUAGCGGUGAAAUGCUUAGAUAUGAUACAGAACACCGAUCGCGAAGGCAGCUUACGAAACUACAACUGACGCUCAGGGACGAAAGCGUGGGGAGCGAACAGGAUUAGAUACCCUGGUAGUCCACGCUGUAAACGAUGAUUACUCGUUGUCGGCGAUACACUGUCGGUGGCUAAGCGAAAGUGAUAAGUAAUCCACCUGGGGAGUACGAUCGCAAGGUUGAAACUCAAAGGAAUUGACGGGGGCCCGCACAAGCGGAGGAGCAUGUGGUUUAAUUCGAUGAUACGCGAGGAACCUUACCUGGGCUUAAAUGCAUAAUGACGUACUGGGAAACCGGUAUUUCUUCGGACAUUUUGCAAGGUGCUGCAUGGUUGUCGUCAGCUCGUGCCGUGAGGUGUCGGGUUAAGUCCCAUAACGAGCGCAACCCCUAUCGUUAGUUGCCAUCAGGUCAAGCUGGGGACUCUAACGAAACUGCCCGCGUAAGCGUGGAGGAAGGUGGGGAUGACGUCAAAUCAGCACGGCCCUUACGUCCAGGGCUACACACGUGCUACAAUGGCCGGUACAGAGGGCAGCCACUUGGUGACAAGGAGCAAAUCUCAAAAGCCGGUCUCAGUUCGGAUCGGAGUCUGCAACUCGACUCCGUGAAGUUGGAUUCGCUAGUAAUCGUAGAUCAGCAAUGCUACGGUGAAUACGUUCCCGGGCCUUGUACACACCGCCCGUCAAACAAUGGAAGCUGGGGGUACCUAAAGUCCGUAACCGUAAGGAGCGGCCUAGGGUAAAACUAGUAACUGGUGUU
Molecule: ribosomal RNA, 1117 nt
Filed under: uncultured bacterium
Lineage: Bacteria
Description: bacterial SSU rRNA
Rfam family: Bacterial small subunit ribosomal RNA
Source: RNAcentral